CCUACGGGAGGCAGCAGUGGGGGAUAUUGCACAAUGGGCGAAACCCUGAUGCAGCGACGCCGCGUGUAGGAAGACGGUCCUCUGGAUUGUAAACUACUGUCCCCAGGGACGAAGAUGACGGUACCUGUGGAGGAAGCUCCGGCUAACUACGUGCCAGCAGCCGCGGUAAUACGUGGGGAGCGAGCGUUGUCCGGAAUUACGGGGUGAAAAGGGAGCGUAGGCGGGGAUGCAAGUUGGGUGGUAAACCUACCGGCUCAACUGGUAGUCGCACUCAAAACUGCAGCUCUUGAGUGAAGUAGAGGCAGGCGGAAUUCCUGGUGUAGCGGUGAAAUGCGUAGAUAUUAGGAGGAACACCAGUGGCGAAGGCGGCCUGCUGGGCUUUUACUGACGCUGAGGCUCGAAAGUGUGGGGAGCAAACAGGAUUAGAUACCCUUGUAGUC
Molecule: ribosomal RNA, 440 nt
Filed under: uncultured bacterium
Lineage: Bacteria
Description: partial 16S ribosomal RNA
Rfam family: Bacterial small subunit ribosomal RNA
Source: RNAcentral